AUGACGAUGGCGCAGACAACCAGGAUGGCCAAUGUUGAUUCCGCUCUCGUCCACCUGAGAGUAAACUGCAAGCAGUUGCUGGAGUUUCCCGCCGGCGAGGCCCUCAGCUGCGACGUAGUCUCCGUCGGUGGGCAGCUCUGGAGGAUCGACCUCUCCCCGAGAGGGAUAAGGCCCAACCACCGACACGUCUCCAUCUUCCUCAGGCACCUCACGGCCAUAUUCGAGCCCUUCUUCCUGGGCAAGGACGGCAGACCAUCUCCCAAGAUCACAAAGUGCUCGCACGCCAAUGAGUACGACGCGUGUAGUAGUAUCAGAAGCUGCGCCGACGGAAACGUCACCUUCGUGUGUGCCAUCGUGGUCGUCAACCAGCUACACCCUGCCCCCGUGCCGCCACCGAACCUCGGGGGCCAGCUUGGCCGCCUGCUGGAAGACGACGGGACGACGGACGUGUCGUUUGUCAUUGGCGGCGAGACGUUCCAUGCGCAUCGGGCGAUUCCCAUGGCCCGCUCGCCGGUCUUCAGGGUGCAGCUCUUUGGAUCCAUGUUCCCGACGUUGGCGCCCAUGGUGCUGCACGACAUCUCACCCGCGACGUUCCGCGUCAUGCUUCGGUGGAUGUACACGGAUGCCUGGCCUGCAGGAGACGAUGGUUCAUCGCCUGUUGACAUGUUUCGGGAUCUUCUUGCCGCCUCCGACCGGUAUGCGUUGCACCGGCUGAAACUUAUGUGUGCACGAAAGUUGUGCCAUAAUGUUGUGCCGACAGGGAGGUGGAGAGGAGGGGGUUCAGCGACGACGACGACGACGCACACAACCACGGUGGAGGAUCUUGAUUCCGCUCUCGUGCACCUCCGAGUAGACUACAAGCACUUCAUGAGGUUGCCCCCCGGCGUAGCCCUCUGCUCCGACGUGGUCUCCGUUGGUGGGCAACAAUGGAUGCUCGAGUUGUAUCCACGAGGGAAAAGGGCGCAUCAUACCUACACUUCCAUCUUCCUCAGGCACCUCACAAGAUCAUCGUCACCAAGGAGCACCGUCAAGGCCAUAUUCGAGCCUUUCUUCCUGGGAAGGGACGGCAGGCCAUCUCCCAAGAUCACAAAUUGGUCGCACGUCAAUGAGUACGAUGAAAGUAGUGUUACACGUAGAAACUACGUCUUCUGUGCUGACGAGAAUGGAUAUCCUCACUUCUUUAAACGGCACCCUCUAGCAGGGACAUACGUCAUCGACGGCAACAUCACGUUCCUGUGCUCCGUGGUGGUCGUAAACGAGCUAGGCCCUGAUCCGGUCCCUACCUCGAACCUCGGGGAGCAUCUCGGCCGCUUGCUGGAAGAUGGCAGUAGCACCGGCGACGGGAUGAUGAUGUGGACAGACGUGUCAUUCUUCGUCAAUGGUGAGACAUUCCGCGCACACCGGGCGGUGCUAGCGGCCCGCUCGCCGGUCUUCAAGGCUCUACUCUUUGGAUCCAUGAUGGAGGCUACAAUGACCUCGUCAGCACCGAUUGCGCUGCACGAGAUCAUGCCUGCGACAUUCGAUGCCAUGCUUCGGUUCAUGUACACAGAUGCCUGGCCCGAGGACGAUGAGCCUGUCGGCGACUCAUCGUCCAUUGAGAUGUUUCAGGAUCUACUUGCUGCUGCAGAUCGGUAUGCGCUAGACCGUCUGAAACUCAUGUGCGCACGAAAGUUGUGGGAUGUUGUGUCGGUACAUACUGUUGUGAGUAUCCUGGUUUGUGCUGAAACGUAUGAUUGCCCAGAGUUGAGUAAAAAGUGCCUUGACUUCUGUGCGAGAAACGAAAAUUUCAAGCAAGUGGCGUCCGUCGAUGGUUAUGCAUUGUCGGUGCUGAAAUUUCCAUCAAUUACUGGUGAGCUCAUCGAGGUUGGGGCAUCAAGUUAG
Molecule: ribosomal RNA, 1881 nt
Filed under: Triticum aestivum (bread wheat)
Lineage: Eukaryota; Viridiplantae; Streptophyta; Magnoliopsida; Poales; Poaceae
Description: partial small subunit ribosomal RNA
Source: RNAcentral